RNAcentral lists this long non-coding RNA (458 nucleotides) under Nicotiana benthamiana. RNAcentral's name for it is "long non-coding RNA (NBEN_LNC018731)". The record is from RNAcentral. Lineage: Eukaryota; Viridiplantae; Streptophyta; Magnoliopsida; Solanales; Solanaceae.
CGAGCAAUCCGUCAUUUAUGCUUCCCCUCCACUCCCAUCAGCAUCUCCUCCACCAACCUACUAUUGAUAUUAAUUAUUCAGCCAGUUUCUUCCAUUUCCAUGACUUCUGAUUCCUUUUUGUCCUCUUAUUUUUAGCAACUCCAUUUCAUUUGCCAAAAUUUGAUGUAUGGUUCCUGAAAUGACCGGGUUUACUUAUUAUGUGUUCAAUGUUAUUUCGUUUAAUAAUUUGUAUUAUUUAUUGUUUUAUUUAAGUAAGAAUUUGCCAAAAUUUGAUGUAUGGUUCCUGGAAUGACCGGGUUUACUUAUUAUGUGUUCAAUGUUAUUUCGUUUAAUAAUUUGUAUUAUUUAUUGUUUUAUUUAAGUAAGAUCCUCGAGAUCUCCAUCAAUUGUUCUCAUUAUAUCGAGAUUCUUUGCAUUCUGCUUUCUUUGUUCUGUCGUAUUCUUUGUCUAAAUAAUGC